RNAcentral lists this long non-coding RNA (707 nucleotides) under Vulpes vulpes (red fox). RNAcentral describes it as "lncRNA (ENSVVUG00000012130.1)". Lineage: Eukaryota; Metazoa; Chordata; Mammalia; Carnivora; Canidae. The record is from RNAcentral.
CCGGGCCGUCUGCGCGGGGUGGUGCCGCGUGUGCACCCGAGAGGGCCGACAUGUUGGGGUGCACGUGGUGGCGCGCGAGCUCCUGCACGCUCGUCGCCCGUCGGUGGCGCCCUAUGCCGUCCGCGCGGCGCAGAGCCAGCGACUUCCCGCCAGCGGCUUUUCUGGCGGGCGAGGGCCGGGCCGGGCCAAUGGGGACGCGGUGACCUCAUCAGGCCUGCGUGUCACCACGUGCGCAGCGGCGCGGGGAGGGGGUGUGUCCCUCGGAUACGGAUACGGAGCGCGGCCUCACCCCCGCUGCUGAGGGCUCGGGAGCAGCCGGCCCAGCGCGCCGCACCGCGGUGCACCCCGGCGCUCCUCUCUGCGCCCCGACGCCGUUUCGGCAGCGCAGCCCGAGGUCGGUCUCUGCAGCCCGAGGUCGGACUCUCUGCAACCCGAGGCCGGUCUCUGCAGCCUGAGGUCGGACUCUCUGCAGCCCGAGGUCGGUCUCUCUACAGCCCGAGGUCGGUCUCUCCGCAGCCUGAGGUCGGACUCUCUGCAGCCCGAGGCCCGUCUCUCCGCAGCCCGAGCCCGAGGCCGGUGUCUCUGUCCACAGCCCGAUGUCUCCGCCCGAGGUCCGUGGCUCCGCGGCCCGACGCCGGACUGUCCGCAGCCCGGGGUCUCCGCAGCCUGAGGCCCGUGGCUCCGCGGCCCGACGCCGGACCGUCCGC